GGAAAGAACCAAAGCAACAUUUCUGAGAUGCUUUUGUCACAAUGUUUUUUAUUAAAACAAGCACUGCUAUUGUCUACCAACCCUGACACGUUGUUCCAAGGAAGAAGAAAACCCCUGCCUGCCACUCUUACUCUUUACCUGCAUGGGAGAUUAGCCUGAAGACUGAGGCUCUACAGAGCCGUGCACCAGACUCCUAGCUCUGUAGCGAUCACAGAAUUUUAAGAUUUUUAU
Molecule: long non-coding RNA, 231 nt
Organism: Pipra filicauda (Wire-tailed manakin)
Lineage: Eukaryota; Metazoa; Chordata; Aves; Passeriformes; Pipridae
Exons: 3
Source: RefSeq, a predicted model, not a curated record